RNAcentral lists this long non-coding RNA (9231 nucleotides) under Hordeum vulgare. RNAcentral describes it as "long non-coding RNA (HVUL_LNC017846)". Lineage: Eukaryota; Viridiplantae; Streptophyta; Magnoliopsida; Poales; Poaceae. The record is from RNAcentral.
UGACCCUUCAAUCGCGGCUGCCUAUGAAGCUUACGACGAACUGAAAUGCAAGUACCGUGCAAAAAGAAGUAAGUUUGGGAGACGCAUACAUUCCACUUUCAUUCUAUCUGAUUAGUAAUUACUAGGAUAGCUAUGCACCUCUAACAAAAAACAGUGGUCAAUAAUGAAUGAAACAUCUCUAUUUUACUCAAGAUGAUAUGUAUUUGAAGUCUGAACACACUAGACUGAUUCACCAUUCUUUGCAUGCCAACGUGCAGAGCGCCAACAACAGCUUGUAACACUUGAUAUGUCUAUGCGUGCUUCGUGUAUGAUGAAUGCAAACUUGCUGACUGUUCGUGAUUCUGCAACAAAAACAGUCCUCGAAGCAGCUAAAGUUAUUUUUAGCUUUUCAUCCUAUGUUGGUAUGUAACACAUUGCCUUUAUUUAGCGUCUCUUUAUAGUUUUGGUUUUCCUCUUAUCUAUUGUUGCAUCUACAGAUGGUAAAUUCAUGGCACGAUCAUCUGGUUUUUUUAAUUGAUUGGGAUGAGGGGAGUAAAGUGGGCACUGUUUUGACAUCUGCGCGCAUAAUCUGCUCAAAAUAUACACCCCUAACCCAGUGGUCAGGUACAGACGAGUAUGUACCUGAUGCUGAGGUAUGUUUACAAAUGAAUAAGUUUGUGCUUACAUGUCUAUGCUAAAUUACACUUGUCUUAAUAUAUGUUUUUUUGUAUCUGUCUUUAGAUUAUUGCUCAUUUGUUGGAUGAAGAUGACACUACCAUACCUGCACUCUUGUUUCGCUAUGACAAGCACAUCAACAUGGCUUUGUUAAAGGUUAACAUAGACUUGUGUGCUAAGAUUCCUAGGUUCAGUAGUGACAUAAACUAUGGUCAGAAAAUACUUGUGCUUGGUAGAAAUGAAGGUUUAAAUCUGACAAUAGCUCAUGGAUGUGUUCAUUUCAUGGGUCCAACUACCUACGAACGUCAUCACUAUCUAAUCACUGGUUGUGAGGUAUAAAUAAUCUUUAUCAUGAUUAUCUCAUAAAUAAUUAUUAACUUAUGUUGCUUAGAGUUCUAAUGAUGGCAAUUUAAAUUUCUUAGCCUAGCAUAGGAGGAAUGGUUAUUGACUUUGACGGACACGUUUUGGGGAUGGCUAAUUUCCCCGGGACAGCAUAUAUUCCUUCCUCUAUUAUAUUAAAGUGCUUGGAUAUGUGGAACAAAUUUCAGUAAGUUUUUCUUUCGUUGGUACCAUUGUAAGAUUUCAGUCAUAAGAAAAUAUUUUGAGGAAACACGGUAGAUCUUGUGGUGUACUUGUGUUGAUAUAUUUCUUCUUAUAUUGCUAAGUCUAAUUUCUGUUGGAUAUUUUAGACACAAAGCUUCAUUCAUCAAAAUUGUUUUUUAAGUUAUAUGAUAUUGUUCAUAGUUUUAGUUUUUGGAAUUUGAUAAAAGACAAUGUCGCAAGGUGUAUCCCUCGCCUGCAUAUUGGGAUGAAGCUUUCAUCCAUUAAAUUUCUCGAUCCAAUUCGUGUCGAGAGGAUCUUUCGUAAGUGUAAUGUCGAUUCGGGUCUGAUAGUUGAAGAGGUAUAUGUUGUCCACUGUUCCUUGUUUUCUUGAACAAUGUUUACUAAAUGCUAUUGAGUAAUGCAUGACAAAUUGAACUGUAGGUGUCCCACGGAUCGAUUGCUGAAGAACUAGGAGUUAGACUUGGUGAUGUCAUUGACUCCAUGAAUAGAGAGUGCGUUGCUACCACAGUUGAGGUAAUUAUUGUUAACAGUAAUAGCAAUAAAUGUGUUAUGUUGUUUCAUGAGUAAAGUGGAUAGAAAAAACUCACAUCUCAUGUUUAUGGUCUUCUUAAUAACUCACAUUUAUUAUUCGUGUUUCUGUUAUCAGUUGGAGAACUUAAUUAUGAGGAUAUGUGAGAAUCAUCUUGACCAAGGAGGAGCCAUCGGUUCCAGCGUCGACAUUCGAGUAUGUUUAUUUAUACGAUGUUUAACUGCAGUUUACUUUUAUAUCUGCUAUUAAUGCCCUUAUGUUUAUCCAUAGUUACAAGCUAAAACUAUGAUCAUACGAAGACAUCUAUAUACUAUAUAAAAUGCAGUAGUUCUCAUGUAAAUCAAUUAAAAACAGAUUAUUCUAAUUUUGUUCAGGUUAGUGUUUACUUACUCUUUUAUUUAAGCUAGGAAUCCAUUUUUCCAUUAUAGAUGAAUGGAAAAUGAGAUAUAAUAUACUUCCUCUGUCCCAAAAUAAAUGUCUCAACUUUGUACUAGCUUUAGUACAAAAUUGUAUCAAGCUUAAGACACUUAUUUUGGGACGGAGGGAGUAGGUAGCAGAUGGAAAUAUAGCUCAGAAGCCAGAGAAACUGCGAAAGUAAGGCAAACAGAAUUAGCUAACUCAACUAGUCUACAAAAGGUAGCCUAGAAGAGACACUUGAAAAAUAAAUCAGAGAAAAGAGAUUACUGGACAUAAAAAACACAUCCUUUUCCUCCAAAUGUCUCUCAUGUCUCAUCUUGCUAUUCUCCUUUUUUGCAUCUGUAGCUGCCCUUGCGCGGGCAUAUGUCAGGAGCUUGAAGAAGUACAUUAGCAGAAACAUGUUGACUAGCAGCAUAGUUCCGGUGAGACUGGCUCCGUCUUGAUGCGGACGCCACCCGGCACGGCGUCAUGUGGCCACACGCCCUGCUGCGCGCCGUCAUGGGCGCCUCUGGGUGGGCGUCGUGUGCGCCUGGUAGCCUGGUACGAGUCCUGGUGCCUGCCGUUCGCGCCCUGGACAACACCGUGCGCAUCCAGGACCUCCUCGACGUUGCGCCCGUUCUAGAACACCCGCCGCGCCUGGCUGUUGUGCUGGUACGGCGGGACGUUGUCGGCGUAGCGGUUGAGCAGUUCGUGCUGCUGCUCGGAGAGGAUGUCAUGCCAGAGGGGGUUGGCGACGCCAUACUCCAGCAUCGCCCUCGCUUCCGGCAUGAGGCCCGCGCAGAAAGAGGUGGACGGCACGGUUGAACGCCGGUGUGCCAACGGGCGGGACUGACGCCACAGAGCCACCGCCCAGGUUGUGCUUCCAGCCCUUCGGGAGCCACAUGUCCGGCGGCAUGAAGAUGUCCAGCCGCGCCAACUCAUCUGCCUCAACGACGUGGAGGCUGCGCUCGGGCCAGCUGCUGCUGCCUCGCGGUCGUGGUGAGGCAUCACGACGGUGUGCGAGGAGGAGAGGGGUAUUGGCCGUCAGGAGGGCGAGGAGAGUGCGGCGGCAGGAGCGAGUUGUGUGCGACAGUGAUGGAGAGGGGAGGGCCAUUUGUAGGCAGGGUUGGUGGCCUAGGGGUGAUCGGCGUUAUGCUACCAUUAGAGCAUGGUUAAUAGUAUAGCCAACUGAUGGCUAUAAGUCAUCUUAUAGCUUAUCUUAUAACUAGCUUGUACAAUAGUUAGCUACAAAAGAGUACUAUUUUUAUCAUAUAUGGCCCAUCUUUCAUUCUCACAAAGCACCUAAGAGCAUGUGCUAGAACUAGUUCUUCACGAAGAACCCGCUUCCUUUCUCUCUUCUCUUCUCUCUCAUCCAACUCAACGAAAAUAUAAUAUUAUAAUCCUUACAGCCUGCUGACUGUACCUUAUUGUACUUGCUCUUAAUGGCUAGCGACAUCGGAAUCCGCCCGGCCACGCAGCGGCGGUGUUGCAUGUGAACAAACGCAUAGAGUCAAAGGCUGGCUGGAGUAAUUACGCCGCGUGAAUACUUGGGGCGUAUAGGCAUGGCGCACGGCUUUGGUGCCACCCCGUGACCUGCGACGAGAAUGGCCACAUGGCGUGGUUGUACGCCAUGCGGACUGCAAGCACACUCGGCUUUGGCCCGUGUAUGUCGAGCGGAUUUUGGGCCGUGUCAUGGCAUAUGUGACGGUACUCCAAGACACAACGUUUCACCGUGCACCCUAGCGGUGACACACGGCUUAGAGGGUGAUAAUCCAAGUGUCCGAUAGAAAACGCUCGGCAUAUCGAGAAGCACAAGACGAAAUGUGAUUUUCCUGUAGUGGUUUAGUUCAAAACUGCUACUACUUUUAUGCGAACGUGUGCCUCAUUAAUGAUUUCUUCGCCAUUUUCAGAUUUAGUAUUCUUUCUCUUGGAAAAAGUCCAAAACAUACCUUGAAGUGAUAGACAAAAGCUAAAUCAAACCCUGAACUUUGAAUCCCGGAAAUUGACACUCUGAACUUGUAAUCUCGGUCUAUUUUAGACCUUAGAUCUGUUUGGCAUUUCGGGAAUACUACAAUCCUGACCGGGAUUACAUACUCCGGGAUGAGAAUUUGGGCCAGCCCACUUUACCAGAACAAGAAUUCAUGAAGUUUAAUUUUUUUGACAAAUUACUAAAAUUGUCCAGAAGUUAAAAAAUGUUGUUUUUUUUGGCAGAACUAAAUUCCUUUUUUUUUAAGUUUAGAAUUUUCAAAUUCUAUUCACAUUUUUUAAAACUGUUUGUGAUAUAAAAAAACCACAUUUGUCAAAAAACUUCACACUUCCAACAGUUUUUCACAUGCUACAAAAAAUGAUGCGGAUUUUCCAAAAUUGUGUCACAUUUUUCAAAUAAUGUUUUUGCAAUUUUGUAAAUUAUUUGUGUUUUGGAAAAAACUGAAGCAAUGAACUUCGAAUUUAUUUUUUGGGCAAACAAAUAUUCAAAAUGUAAACUAUUUCGGAAUGUCCGAACAUCUUUUAGAGUGUGAGAACUUUUUGAAAAUUCUGAAUACUUUCAAAAAAGCUAUUGUUUUACGUGCCAAAAAUUCUGAAUACUCCAGCAUCGUCCUCGCCUCCGGCAUGAGGCCCGCGCAGAAAGAGGUGGACGGCACGGUUGAACGCCGGUGUGCCUACGGGCGGGACUGACGCCACCGAGCCACCGCCCAGGUUGUGCUUCCAGCCCUUCGGGAGCCACAUGUCCGGCGGCACGAAGAUGUCCAGCCACGCCAACUCCUCUGCCUCGACGACGUGGAGGAUGCGCUUGGGCCAGCUGCUGCUGCCUCGCGGUCGUGGUGAGGCAUCACGACGGUGUGCGAGGAGGAGAGGGGUAUUGGCCGUCAGGAGGGCGAGGAGAGUGCGGCGGCAGGAGUGAGUUGUGUGCGACAGUGAUGGAGAGUGGAGGGCCAUUUGUAGGCAGGGUUGGUGGCCUAGGGGUGACCGGCGUUAUGCUACCAUUAAUGGCUAGCGGCAUCGGAAUCCGCCCGCCCACGCAGCGGCGGUGUUGCGUGUGAGCAAACGCAUAGAGUCAAAGGCGGGCUGGAGUAAUUACGCCGCGUGAAUACUUGGGGCGUAUAGGCGUGGCGCACGGCUUUGAUGCCACCCCGUCAUGGCACCGUGACCUGCGAUGAGCAUGGCCACAUGGCGUGGUUGUACGUCGUGCGGACUGCAAGCACACUCGGCUUUGGCCCGUGUAUGCCGAGCGGAUUUUGGGCCGUGUCAUGGCAUAUGUGACGGUACGCCAAGACACAACGUUUCACCGUGCACCCUAGCGGUGACACACGGCUUAGAGGAUGAUGAUCCAAGUGUCCGAUAGAAAACGCUCGGCAUAUCGAGAAGCACAAGACGAAAUGUGAUUUUCCUGUAGUGGUUUAGUUCAAAACUGCUAUCAUUUUUAUGCGAACGUGUGCCUCAUUAACGAUUUCUUCGCCAUUUUCAGAUUUAGUAUUCUUUCUCUUUCAACUACCGUCUAACGUUAGCUAUCCUAUGAAAAUACUCUACGCUGUUAUCACCUUUCAACAGUCUUACUUUUUUUUUGGUACUAGCAUAAUUCUUCUUCGAGAGAAUUUUAAAUAACUAUUACUUUUCUAGCUAAAUCCCCCCUCCCCCAUCACCACUAGCAUUGGGUACCGUAUGGUCCUCAUGUGGGUUCAGCCGCAGUCUGUGCACCACAUCCUGGGGGGUUUCUAGACCUAGUUACAAUGCCAUAUGUCAUCUUAAUUCGCCGUCGAGUAUUUAAAAAACCCAACUCAAUCCUUGAAACUAUUCUGUAUGUAAUCUCCUUUAUCUGUAUUUUACCAAUAUCAGUAAUAUCUUAACCUGGCUAGCUUGUGCCAAGCUCCCUUAACUAGUCUUGAAAAUCAGGAUGUUUGAGCCAAUGCAGCUCAGAUGUGAAUUUAGGUAGACUGUUAUCACAGAGAUCUAUUGUUCAUUUUCCAUUUCUACAUGCAUGCUUCCAAUCUUUGUUUAAUAUACUUUUUUACCCUUUAAACUUUGUGAUUUAGGGGUACAGAAGACCCUGAAUCCUCUUCCUUCUUGAAACAUUUGAAUCAUAUUUUAUUCUACUAGCACACCUUUUUCUGUUAACUCAAAGGAAUAAACUUUGUUGCAAGCUUUUUAAACUAUUUCGAUGGCUUAGUGAAAUCUGACCAGAGUCAUCUCUUAUAUUAGCACCCAUACAUCUAGCUUUUCUCAUGAUAUCUCUAUUUGGCAAAGUUUCAAAGGAAUUGGAAUGUUUAGUUGUACCUUUCAAAUUUCUCUUCCUUGUCAGUCUUUCAGCUUUAACUCGUCUUGUGACUGGGAAGGCUCUUGGUCCUUCUAGGUUGCUCAACAUGGAGUUCUUUUUCUACCUUUUGUGUUUCACCACCUUUUAUCCAUCAUUUUUGAAGCUUCAUCGUUUACUUCAGUAUUGUUAAGAUCACCUUUCUAUGGUAUGAUCAUACCUUCUUCAUUAGGCUUUCUGUUUUGCAUGUCGUCUGCGUAUGGUUCAUGACUAGCAGCUCCAAUUGUAUCACCACCAUCUUUAUCAUUUGAAUCUUUUCAAUUUACAGGUUGGUAUCUUGCACACGCGGAAAGGUCGCAAACGUCCGAGGCGCACUUUAAGUAUGAGAUUAAAUGUAUCUGAUGACGUAGAGGUGUUCAAGAGUGGUAUGCAUCCCUUCAGUUACUAUGAAGCUUCUAGUAAAAUGCAUAUAUGGAUUUGGGGCUCGGGACUGAUAUGGUUAUGUGUUACUCCCUCUAAACAAAUAGAAGAGCAUUUAGAUCACUAUUUUAUGAUCUAAACGCUCUUAUAUUUGUUUACGGAGGGAGUACUUUAUUUAUGUUUGUAUAUGUUUGCACGUGUGCUUCCCUAUGUUCAUUUCUAUACGAGAUACAUGUCUUAACAAUGAAAUUCUGCUGUCCAGAUUUCUGACUCGUCUCUGAAACGGACUGUGCCUAGUCGUUUGAUGAAGGUACUUUUAACUUUCCCCCGUUUAUUACUUACUAGCGCCGAAAAGCACGGCGCACGCCGCGCCCGUUCUAAUGCCCGUUUAAAUUUUGAUUUCUUCAGUGUGCACUACCCACAGGUGUGGAAUGAUACAAAAAUGUAAAGUAUGCACGACAACCACUCGUUAUACUCACAUGGAGCACUGAGUUUGAUAACAGUUCUAUGUUAAAAACAUUUGCCAUGUAAUAAAUUGUCAUUUUUUCUGUUCAGUUCUGUUAGCAAUCAUCUUAAGAUGUGAACCUCUAUUUUCUACUCUGAUCAUCAACUACGAAGCAGAGAGAAGGAGCAGACAUUUUUAUAUUUCUAAGAAGAUCAUCCCAUUCGCAAGUCCAGUUUUGAAUCGCUUUAGAAGUUUUAGCAGAACAUAAGUUUAGAUUUACUUAAUGUGGCAGAGCUAACACCUAUUAUUCUGGCCGAAACAUGGUUGGCACAGUAAGAAUUCUCAUAAGUCAAAUUAGGAGGGACGGGGACCAAAAUGUGCAAAUAAUAAUAGCAUAACAACUAACGUGACAGUGGAAGCGUAUAACUCAUCGUCUCGUCGUUCCUUGAAAAUAUUUCUAUCUAGUGCAUAAUACUAAUCAGUAUAUACCUAAUCUUGUAGGAGGAAUUAAAGGUUGUAGUUCUAAUGGAAGUUGUGUAGCAUUUGUCGUGUUGAUCUCAAGUUCAAUUCAAAUUGAGCAGCUCCAAUGUGGGCAUUGCCGGUGCUUCGCCUCCUUGGACCUUAAGCGAGAGGCUCCAGAUUCUCUUGGGGACGGGUAGGGCAGAUUGUAUGGAAUAGCAAGAUUAUAGUUCAACUUCUAAAUUCACCUUUAACUCUCUGGAACAGAAGAAUAUACUUCAUCUUCUUUAUACAUCAACACCAUUUUUUAACCAAGUUCCAAAGAAGGGUUAGGAUCUUUAAUCAUCAGCAUCCCUCACAAUGAAUCAGUCUAUAGUUCUUCUAAAUUAUACCCUAGAAACUGCUCCCCAGCGAUGGUAUAUCUGAAUUUCCAUUGCACUUGGAGCAACAAACUUACGGGAUCUCGUGGGAGGUACCAUAUGGUUCAUACAUAACACCUAAUUACCUAUAACAUAUAACUGCAAUAUAAAGACCCAAUUAAAAUAUGGGAGUCAUGUGCAAACUUACAAAUGAAACUACCUGAAAGAAAGAACAUAACGUGUUCAUAAUAGUUGUUUUGAAAAAAAUAAGCAAGGAAGGAACUGAGCUUCAAAUAAAAGAACAGCAAAGGGGGAAACAACUAACCUGCGAAGUUAUUUCGAACACAACAUUAACUUGAUUCAAAUAAGAGUGGACGAAAUGCAUAAUACAGAGAAUACUUGCAUUCAUCCCAGAAAUAAUGUCUGGAUUGGCAUAAAAAAAUAUAUAGGAAAUUGAUGAGCAAAUCAGAAACAACAUGACUGAUAAUACCUUUUUGCAUUGUAUGGAUUGUUGGAACUAUCCACUAUUAUUAAUUGUAUGUACUUGGUAUCUCUACUGCCUACUGUCUGGUGGAGCACGGAUAGGAGGGAAUCAGAAGAGAGAAGGGCGCUGCAGCGAUUGGAAAUAGUCAGGGAAGAUGUCUAGCAUCGGAUGAGACUUGUCCAUGGUGUUCUGGAGCAGCGGCGACAACCCUCCACCCACUGUUGGUCUGCACCAUAGGCGCCUCCGGCCUAGGGUUUGCGGCUGCGACCCCUUGUGGCCAGUACACAUCAAAGUGGGGGGAGAUGAGGGAAGGGAAGCGGCAGAGAGAGCGGGAGCUGUGGCAGCGGCACCAUCACACGCGGACGAAGAUAGCGUCAUCCUGUUGUCUCGUUCGUUGAUGUCUUUGUCGUGCUGCCGCCGCGCUUGCCAGCUCCCGCUAGAGAGAUGGGAGAUCCAGGCCGAGGGCCGCUUCGACAGCAGUUGAGAUGGCGAGGCGAGGUGGGCGGGGAUGGACAGCCGGUGGCGGAUGGCGGCCAAGAAUGGUGGGCGCAGGCGGCGAGGGGUGGAUCGGUGCGGGCCGUCUCUUUCUCUGGAACAACGAAAAAGAGGGUCGAGCGAGCGACGGUGUGCAGAGCCCGACUCAAGAUAUUAUGGUGGGCCUUAAGCGGUAAA